RNAcentral lists this ribosomal RNA (312 nucleotides) under Triticum aestivum (bread wheat). RNAcentral's name for it is "partial small subunit ribosomal RNA". Lineage: Eukaryota; Viridiplantae; Streptophyta; Magnoliopsida; Poales; Poaceae. The record is from RNAcentral.
AUGAAUCAAGCCGCCGCGCGCGGCCGGUAUACCUUUCCCGCUACCCUCCAGCAGCGCGGCCGUUGCCCUUUUCUUCCCCUCCUCACCCGCCCCAACUCCUCACCCCCAGCCUCCUCGGCCUCAACGCGGACGUCUCCGAUUUGGAUAGGAUUCGACGCCGCCACGCGCGGCCGGUCUUCCUCUCUAGCUAUCCUCCAGCAGCGCCGCCGUUGCCCUGUUCUUCGCCUCCUCACCCGCCCCAACUCCUCACCCCCAGCCUCCUCCGCCUCGAGGAGGACGGCUCCGAUUUGGAGCUCAAGUACUGCCUCCUGA